GGCAAGAUGGCCGAGUGGUACGUCAAUGCGCCAACCCUAACCCUUUAUGUUCAAUAUCUAACCCUAAACCUAAUAGGUCUAAGGCGCAGCACUCGAAAUGCUGUAUCUUCGGAUGCGUGAGUUCAAAUCUCACUCUUGUCG
This 141-nucleotide transfer RNA is filed under the name Talaromyces pinophilus. Its description in RNAcentral is "tRNA-Ser (CGA) (tRNA-Ser-CGA-2-1)". It matches the Rfam family "tRNA". From Rfam's summary of the family: Transfer RNA (tRNA) molecules are approximately 80 nucleotides in length. Their secondary structure includes four short double-helical elements and three loops (D, anti-codon, and T loops). Lineage: Eukaryota; Fungi; Ascomycota; Eurotiomycetes; Eurotiales; Trichocomaceae. The record is from RNAcentral.